CCUACGGGAGGCAGCAGUGAGGAAUUUUGCGCAAUGGGGGCAACCCUGACGCAGCAACGCCGCGUGAGUGAAGAAGGCCUUUGGGUCGUAAAGCUCUGUCAACAAGGAAGAAAUUACAAUUAUUUAAUAGAUAGUUGUAUUGACGGUACUUGUGGAGGAAGCGCCGGCUAACUCCGUGCCAGCAGCCGCGGUAAU
RNAcentral lists this ribosomal RNA (195 nucleotides) under uncultured bacterium. RNAcentral describes it as "partial 16S ribosomal RNA". It matches the Rfam family "Bacterial small subunit ribosomal RNA", at positions 338 to 524 of the family's 1533-position model. The record is from RNAcentral.